RNAcentral lists this ribosomal RNA (301 nucleotides) under uncultured bacterium. RNAcentral's name for it is "partial 16S ribosomal RNA". It matches the Rfam family "Bacterial small subunit ribosomal RNA", at positions 509 to 807 of the family's 1533-position model. The record is from RNAcentral.
CAGCCGCCGCGGUAAUACGUAGGUGGCUAGCGUUGUCCGGAAUUAUUGGGCGUAAAGGGCUCGCAGGCGGUUUCUUAAGUCUGAUGUGAAAGCCCCCGGCUCAACCGGGGAGGGCCAUUGGAAACUGGGAAACUUGAGUGCAGAAGAGGAGAGUGGAAUUCCACGUGUAGCGGUGAAAUGCGUAGAGAUGUGGAGGAACACCAGUGGCGAAGGCGACUCUCUGGUCUGUAACUGACGCUGAGGAGCGAAAGCGUGGGGAGCGAACAGGAUUAGAUACCCCAGUAGUCCCUGUCUCUUAUAC